UUUGGGAAUUCACAUUCAGUUUGUUCAUUUCUUUGAUAUAUGAUCUGUAAGUUAACAUGUCUCCUCGAUUUCUCUUUUAGAACCAAGAGGUGGUAACCGUUUUUUUAAAUAUGUAUUAUAUAUUAUUAAGAGAUCUGUGGCGAUGCCGUUGUUUGGAAUGAGUAGCAGAGUAUGGAUGCAAGACAGCCCAACAAAGUUCAGGCUCGAAAGUUUUUUGGAUCGAAGAGCUCAAAAGAUACACCCACCCACCUAGAGACCCAUUGAAGGCAACAAGGGCGAAGCUUAAGAGGGGCCGGGAGGGGCGCCCGACCCCUCGAACUUUUCGCUCAGUAGUGUUAUAUAUGUAGUUUUCGUAUAGAAAUUUUUGGGUAUAUAGGUUUUCGACCCCCCAGUUCUAUAGAAUUUUUUAGGUGUAUACGUUUUCGACCCCCAGUUCUAUAUAAAAAAUCGUUAUUUUUUGUUCUUUUUAGUUCAUAUAGUUUUUAAAUUAUAUAUAAAUGGUCUGUAAUUUCGGCAGCUAUUGACGUCCUUUGUGGCUUUCUUUUUGACUUUGCAUCAACAAGGUAAUAAACCUCUUCUCAAAAAAACAGUUCACUUUUUUUACUUUUCAGCAUUCCUUAAGUAAAAAAGCUGUAAAACAAAACAAAACAAACCCUUUGUCCUUACUUUGACCUAUAUGUUUGACCUUAUCAAAGGUCUUCUCUCUCCAUUUGACCUUACACAUAAAUGGAUCCUUACUUUCUGCAACAUAAUACUUUUUAGACAGUUUUGAAAUUGAUAAUGUUGGUCAACUAUAAAGACAGAUUAUACAUUUCAAAUUUUUUCACUUUUUAGUUAUCUAACUACCUAACCAAGAAACUUAACCUUUUCUGUAUACUUUCCUAUACCCUCAAAUAGAUUUGUUGGUUUGUUUCAUCACCAACUAUUUAUAAAGAGUACCACCACUCUCAUAUUUCAACAUCCAGAAUUACAUUCUUGCAUUUUACCAUUCAAACUCUCAACUCAUGGAGCACGGUAACAUCACCUAUCAACUGAUCAAGGCUAGAGCCCCGGCUCCUGCAACCUAUUGUUUCUCUUCCUGGCGGACUGUAUCAAGAGUUACAAGACGACAUGGCCUCAAAGUUGUUAUUCUAGAGUUACAACACUAGAUGGCUUCAAAGUUGUUAUUCUAGAUAGUGAUGGUAAUCUUUCAAAUACAACAUCAAAUGUUGUAUACAAAGAUGUUUUUAGAAAUUUGUAACGUAUUUUUAUAUAUAUUUUUUUACAUCUUUCAUGUUAAAUUACUUAGUUUGUUAUUAAUUUACUUAUUU
This 1310-nucleotide long non-coding RNA is filed under the name Helianthus annuus (common sunflower). RNAcentral describes it as "hypothetical non coding rna". Lineage: Eukaryota; Viridiplantae; Streptophyta; Magnoliopsida; Asterales; Asteraceae. The record is from RNAcentral.